RNAcentral lists this long non-coding RNA (4260 nucleotides) under Homo sapiens (human). RNAcentral describes it as "HSALNT0290859". The record is from RNAcentral. Lineage: Eukaryota; Metazoa; Chordata; Mammalia; Primates; Hominidae.
GCCUUCACCUCUUGAGCUCAAGUUAUCCUCCUGCCUCAGCCUCCCAAAGUGUUGGGAUUACAGGCGGGAGCCGCCAUGCCCCAGCCUAUUGAUAUUCUUGUUGAGGUUCUCAGACAUAUCUGCAUGGCCUCACACAUGGAGGAAAGAGACCCACAGAGGCAAAAACAAGACAUGGGGUAAAAAUAGACUGGAAGGAAACACACCGAAUGAUAGUGGUUUUUUCUGGGUGUUGAGAUUACCGAGCUUAUUUUUAAAUUUCUUAGAUCCUUCAGGUGUUCUACAACGUAAAAUGCAGACAGGGUGGGGACGUUGGUUGGAGUCAUGUUUUCCCUAAUGUUCUUACUGGUUCUAAAAUCUUCAAGCUAUGCUCUCACCCAAGGCUUCACUUAUUAUUAUUUUAACACUGUGGAUUCAUAAAGAAUGGAAGCCCACACAAGUCCAGGGAAGGAAGGAAAGGCAGACAGAGGCUUAUUUUCAGGCCUGGGCAGUUGCACAGGGUCCCUUGCUUAGAAGGGCCUCAUGCUUGGUUUCGUGUUCUGUGGUCGCUGUCCUGAAAUUCUUACUGAUUUUUGAACAAGGGAUCCUGUAUUUUCAUUUUGCACUGUGCCCUGAAAAUCAUGCCGCCGUCACUAGCCCUGGGAUUCUCCCCAGGACAGGUUUCCCUUCAGCUGCUCUAAGCCUUCGCCCUUGUCCUUGUCCAACCACGGACGUGGCCAUCCACGGAGCCCUCUACGUGCCUCAGAGCAAGUGUGCUUCGGCUGCUCAGGUGUGUGUCUAGAGACUGAUAAAAACAGGGCUCGUGAGUGGGUGCGGGAGGCCCCUGUGGUCUCUGUUCACACACGUACCUACCCUCAAGGCCAUGUCUACACUGGCCUAUUUCAGAGAACCGCCCUGUGCAUCAUGGGAUGCUUUGCCCCACAUCACGGCCCAGCUUGGUUCAGUCCUGGAGCCCUGUGUCCUGAAGCCAUGACCAACCCCAGGCCUGGCCCACCUUCUUCCUCAGUCUCCUCUCCCUCAAGCCCUCCACAGGACCCAUAAACCUUCCAUCUCCAUGUAAUCCUUUUGUGUGAUCCUUCUUCCAUACCUUUGCCCAUGCUGUUCACUCUGCUUGUACCAGCAAGGUUCCUUCCUCCCCAGAUCUGCCCUUUCUAGACCCAUCUCAGAUUCCACCCUUUCUAGAAAGACUUCAGGAAGUAUUUGAGAAGGGCCUGAAGAUGCUGUGGUUGCAUAGAGGAGGAUAUGAAUCACCUCGCUUAGAGGUAUCGGGGAGGGCUCCAUGGAGGUGGUGCCCUCAGGCCAAGGAAGAGAAGAUAUCUUCCGGGCAGAAGGGAGAGUUUGACGGGCUGGUUUGAUGUCAGACAGACCACAGGAUGACUCAAGGUCCUCUUUCCUCUUCUUAAACAUUAGUUGCAGCAAGUCCCACCAUCUGCCUGAGUCUGUUUUCAUCUCCACAAUGGAGGUGGUGAUGCCCAGCACACGGAGCUGUGAUGAGGAUUUAAUGGGGAAUCCAGAGCAUUUAUGGAAGUGCCAGGAGGCCAAGAUUCUGCAUAGGGACUGCAUGUGCUGGUGGAAUCUCAGUCACCAUGUCCCACGUUGAAGGAUGUUUGGAGGGGGCUGACUUUGGUCACCCUUCAAAUCAUAAGUUAUAUGCGUCUGCCCUUUCCGCCCACACGUAAGUCUGAACCUUUUGCCAAAAACACUUUUCCCAGACUCGAAAGAAAACCCCAAAGAGGAACCUAAACCUUCACGCUGCCUGCACCGAUUGGACCGGAGUGCUCAGGCUCGCGCCAACAAGUGUUUCAAAGAAGAAGCCAGACAGUGAAGGGGGAAGUGAGGGAGAAGCUGGAAAACUCUCAGGCUGACCAAUCGUCAGCCCAUUCAUUCGUUCAUCCAUCCAUCCAUCCAUCCAUCCAUCCAUCCAUCCAUCCAUCCAUUCUUUCUUUCUUUCCUCUAUCCAUUCAGUGAGAAGGGCUGAAUAUCACCUGUGAGCCUGCCCCUGCUCCCAAGAACACCCUUUGGACACCUGUGGGCUCUGCAAGGUUGGUGUAACCCCUACAGAUGAGGAAACCAGAGACAGAGAAGUGAAGUAACUCAUGCAGGUGACGGCAGAGGGCAGAGUCAGGACUUGAACCUGGAGAGCCUGGCUCUAAAGCCCAAGCUGGAAUCUCGAUACUCUACACCUCGAUAAGUUUUUGGGAAAUGACUGACUAAACAGAUGAACGCGUUUGCCCCCCCGCCGCCCCAGAGCCCCCUUAAAGCCUACAUGUGGCAGUUUGGGCCCAUUUCCUUGGCUUCCCUCCCUGGAGGGGCACCCACUGCCAGUGUCCCUGCUGAAAUUUAGCAUCAUAUUCCAUGGCGAUUUUCCACCAGUGGAAAUCACAGGUGUUCUCUGGUAUCACAGCGGGGUCAGGGAUGACCUGAAAUAUUGUUCAUGCUCAUCACAACUGCAUGGCCCACCGCGGGGUCUUGUCACUCAGUGAGUUCUUGAAGAGGCACAGACAAAUGGAGUUCAACAAAUGGAAAACAACUGCCUUUAAUUAGCUCCGAGGACUACAAAGGGAACAACGUUAUAAUAGCAGCAACUCCAAGGAAGCAGCCACAGCUCUCAGCUCUCAGACCUGGGGCUGCCGCUCAUCAUCAGCUACAGCUAGGUUUGAUGGGAGUGCCCCCAUUUCAGGGGACAGCAGGCCCCCUUCACUCCCCGACUCAGUCCCCAUCUGCAGCAGCACAGCCUUCCUUGGCCUCACCAGGGAAGAAGAACAGGCCCCGCUCUCAGACAAGCCUUCCCAGAAGCCUGAGGACUCAAACACCCAAAUGUGUCUGGGUCCCUGCCCCGAGCCGGCCACCCAGGCAGCAGCCCUGAAUCACUCGGUCAGCCAGCGGCAGGGCAGGCCAAUGGGCUGGAGGGUAGGCAGGCAGGCAGACCCACCUCUGCAUCUCUGCUGACUGCCUCGGCUGAGGAAAGGCAGCACCAGCCCCCAACCCUGAAGUUCUAGAUCUCAUGCAGCCUCUCUGUUCUGGAACCAUCCAGAGGCACUGCCCUUAUACAUGGUCCACCCCCAGGCUCAGACAAUGAGAAUUCCACAAGCAGAGGGGACUCUAUUUGGGGCACAGAGAGGUUAAGUAACUCCCCUCCUAAGGUCUCUCAGCAAGGAAGCCACUGAGCCGUGGGACUUGAGCUCAGGGACUCUUGAUCCCCAGUCUCAGGUGUCACAGCCCCAUCUGGGCUCCUGCUAGGGAGGAGGAAGGCAGCAGGGGGUGUCUGAGGCCAGGGUGCAUCAGCCCUAAAUGCCAGACAGAGGCAGGAGAAGUCUCCCCAUGAGUCCCAGCCCCAUUAGAGGCUCCAGGUCGGGGAUCCCAGACCCCCUAUCCUUGCUGGGAGACACAACCCAGAACUCUGCAUCCCUGCAGCCACCAAAAAAGGCAAAAGCUGCCCAGAAACACUUUCUCCUCUUCCGUGGCCAAAUCCACGAACUUUCUCGAGGUCUGUCCCCCUGCCCCGUGCAGGUCCAGCUUCAGUGCAGCCCAGCUCUGUGCAGUUUUCCACAAAAGCCUGUGGCUUCCUUCUCCUCCCUCUGCUUCUGAUACCCCAGGAGUUACACACAAAAUGUUGGCGGUGGUCUCCAGGAAGACCCCUGCAUCCCACAGCUCUCCCCAGAAGUUGCCAGCAGUGACCUCCUGAGCCCAGGUGGGGAGUCCCAGGCAGGACAGGGGCUGGGGCUGCAGGCCCUGGGGCCCUGUUAGUGAAGCAGCAAGCCGAGGGUCCCUGAGAGUUUCCCUUGGCCCCUCUGAGGGCUGCCCUUUGAGGUCUUGAGGUCUUGGAGUAUCCAUCGCCCCCACGGCUUACUGUCCCCACCAGCGGAGGAUGAAAGUGCCACAGCGAUGUUCCACGCCAAGAGACCACAGAGACCACCAACCCCUCUUCCCACCUCAGGCUUUCAGAGGCCAGCGGAUUUAGGCGGACAGGCUGUGCGCUUGAGGGCAGCCAGGGCGGUCAGUGGAGGGACGUGGUCCGGGGCCUGGCCACAGCUCCCCACCCAGGGCCCUGGGCUAUUGUUACUCACCGCGGAUGAAGGUCGGCGAGUAGGUCGGGAAGGAGUCGAAGAUGCUGUUCGAUGCCAUGCCCCGCUCUGAAGAAGGCGAGAAUUUUCAGCCCUUCAGGGGGUUGGGUUGGGAUUCACUUGGUUGGCUGUUGUUUUAUUUUUUUUUCCUCUAGCUACUUUUGAAAAUAAAAGGGGGGGGUGUUGCUUUUUGUUGUUU